GUCGUACGCUUCUUUUUCCACCGGAGCUUGCUCCACCGGAAAAAGAAGAGUGGCGAACGGGUGAGUAACACGUGGGUAACCUGCCCAUCAGAAGGGGAUAACACUUGGAAACAGGUGCUAAUACCGUAUAACAAUCGAAACCGCAUGGUUUUGAUUUGAAAGGCGCUUUCGGGUGUCGCUGAUGGAUGGACCCGCGGUGCAUUAGCUAGUUGGUGAGGUAACGGCUCACCAAGGCCACGAUGCAUAGCCGACCUGAGAGGGUGAUCGGCCACAUUGGGACUGAGACACGGCCCAAACUCCUACGGGAGGCAGCAGUAGGGAAUCUUCGGCAAUGGACGAAAGUCUGACCGAGCAACGCCGCGUGAGUGAAGAAGGUUUUCGGAUCGUAAAACUCUGUUGUUAGAGAAGAACAAGGAUGAGAGUAACUGUUCAUCCCUUGACGGUAUCUAACCAGAAAGCCACGGCUAACUACGUGCCAGCAGCCGCGGUAAUACGUAGGUGGCAAGCGUUGUCCGGAUUUAUUGGGCGUAAAGCGAGCGCAGGCGGUUUCUUAAGUCUGAUGUGAAAGCCCCCGGCUCAACCGGGGAGGGUCAUUGGAAACUGGGAGACUUGAGUGCAGAAGAGGAGAGUGGAAUUCCAUGUGUAGCGGUGAAAUGCGUAGAUAUAUGGAGGAACACCAGUGGCGAAGGCGGCUCUCUGGUCUGUAACUGACGCUGAGGCUCGAAAGCGUGGGGAGCAAACAGGAUUAGAUACCCUGGUAGUCCACGCCGUAAACGAUGAGUGCUAAGUGUUGGAGGGUUUCCGCCCUUCAGUGCUGCAGCUAACGCAUUAAGCACUCCGCCUGGGGAGUACGACC
RNAcentral lists this ribosomal RNA (856 nucleotides) under Enterococcus durans. Its description in RNAcentral is "bacterial SSU rRNA". It matches the Rfam family "Bacterial small subunit ribosomal RNA", at positions 61 to 887 of the family's 1533-position model. The record is from RNAcentral. Lineage: Bacteria; Bacillati; Bacillota; Bacilli; Lactobacillales; Enterococcaceae.